GUGGGGAAUAUUGGGCAAUGGGCGAAAGCCUGACCCAGCAACGCCGCGUGAAGGAAGAAGGCCUUCGGGUUGUAAACUUCUUUUAUCAGGGACGAAGGAUGUGACGGUACCUGAUGAAUAAGCCACGGCUAACUACGUGCCAGCAGCCGCGGUAAUACGUAGGUGGCGAGCGUUGUCCGGAUUUACUGGGUGUAAAGGGCGCGUAGGCGGGGAUGCAAGUCAGGUGUGAAAUCUAUGGGCUUAACCCAUAAACUGCACUUGAAACUGCAUUUCUUGAGUGAUGGAGAGGCAGGCGGAAUUCCUAGUGUAGCGGUGAAAUGCGUAGAUAUUAGGAGGAACACCAGUGGCGAAGGCGGCCUGCUGGACAUUAACUGACGCUGAUGCGCGAAAGCGUGGGGAGCAAACAGGAUUAGAAACCCUAGUAGUCC
Molecule: ribosomal RNA, 428 nt
Filed under: uncultured bacterium
Lineage: Bacteria
Description: bacterial SSU rRNA
Rfam family: Bacterial small subunit ribosomal RNA
Source: RNAcentral